CAGCGGUGAAACUCACGGGCUCAACCCGUGACCUGCCGUUGAUACUGGGGAGCUUGAAUACGGAUGAAGCGGGAGGAAUGUAUGGUGUAGCGGUGAAAUGCUUAGAUAUCAUACAGAACGCCUAAUGCGAAGGCAUCUCGCUAAUCCGUCAUUGACGCUGAGGCACGAAAGCGUGGGGAUCAAACAGGAUUAGAUACCCUGGUAGUCCACGCCGUAAACGAUGAUAACUCGCUGCUGGGGCAAUUAAGCUUCAGUGGCUUAGCGAAAGCGUUAAGUUAUCCACCUGGGGAGUACGGUCGCAA
Molecule: ribosomal RNA, 302 nt
Filed under: uncultured Eubacterium sp.
Lineage: Bacteria; Bacillati; Bacillota; Clostridia; Eubacteriales; Eubacteriaceae
Description: bacterial SSU rRNA
Rfam family: Bacterial small subunit ribosomal RNA
Source: RNAcentral